RNAcentral lists this long non-coding RNA (944 nucleotides) under Apteryx rowi (Okarito brown kiwi). RNAcentral describes it as "lncRNA (ENSARWG00000012138.1)". Lineage: Eukaryota; Metazoa; Chordata; Aves; Apterygiformes; Apterygidae. The record is from RNAcentral.
GGCCCCGCGCGGGGGGAGGCGGCCGGCACAGCCCCGCAGCGAAGGGUCCGGCCUCCGCCGCCUCGCCCCCUGCUAGCGGCGGCCCGGGGGCUCCCGGCGGCCUUUCGGGCAGCACAUGCCGCCUCUCGGCCUAAGCGCGCCCCCGUUUCUGGGGGGCGGCGGGGGGCUGCCUCCUUGGCGGCCCCGUGUCCCCUCUGGUGGGGCCCUUGCUGGAAGCAGGUCCCGACCCGCGGGGGCUCAGGCCUGCUGUGGCCUGGCAGUUCCCGUGUUGUUGUUCUYGCUCCCGCUGUGACUAAACGACAGUGCUGUAGAACGGGACGAGCGGGUGCCCGGUCGUGUGACGGUGGAAGGGCCAUGGGAAAUACAGCCUUCAGAAGCUGGAUGCUUUGGUUGUGGCAGAUUACUACUGGAUGCCCUUUUCCCCAGGUGCUUCCUAGACUUCGGUAGCAAAUGGGAAGGAGUUUGUCAGCCUCGAGAGAAUAAGAGAGCAGGUCCUGCACCCCUCCGAAAAUGGCAUGUGGAAGUGGUUUCGAAAGCGCCGCCUUUGGUCUCCUUUCUGCAGGAUCCCUGCUCCCCACAAAUCAUACUGUGGAUCCAAAGCAGGCUCCUUAAUACUUGCGUGAAACGAGGGCGAAGACUAGACCCGUUGUCCCCAUGUUGGGAAAGAGCACCCUUCCCUUCCCCAGCAGGGUUGCCCGGUGCAGCUAGCGUCGUGUGGCCACCAGCUACCCAUGAAUCACAGCUGAAAAACUGCUUUGCCUGAGCCGUAAUAAUCUGAGACAGCAAAGGGAGAAGUGAUUUCAAUCAUGAUGCAAUCAGUUAAAGACGACUUCAAAUGCAACGUUGGGGAGUUUUCCUUUGGGGAAAAAUGCUCUUGUUGAUUUUUGAGUAAACAAAUUAACAAGUUGGCUUUGUUUAAAAAAUAAAAGGGAUCUGCUGGACCA